RNAcentral lists this transfer RNA (68 nucleotides) under Stenocercus eunetopsis. RNAcentral's name for it is "tRNA-Gln". Lineage: Eukaryota; Metazoa; Chordata; Lepidosauria; Squamata; Tropiduridae. The record is from RNAcentral.
UAGAAAAACGGGACUCGAACCCGCACCAAAAGACUCAAAACCUUUAGCACUCCAUUAUGCUACUUCCU